Molecule: long non-coding RNA, 1987 nt
Organism: Pseudophryne corroboree (corroboree frog)
Lineage: Eukaryota; Metazoa; Chordata; Amphibia; Anura; Myobatrachidae
Exons: 6
Source: RefSeq, a predicted model, not a curated record
GUUCCAACGGCAUGUGUUAUGUCAGCCUGGAGUCAGCAGGAAUAAGAGAAAUACCAAACACCAAAUAAUGUUUUUGAGAUCAGAGAUGCAGAACGGGUUAGAAAAGGGAAUGCAAAUGCAGUCCAAGUACAGUAAGCUUUGUUUAUUUGGUUUCCAUGGUGAUGGUUUCACUCCCCCCGCCCCGUGCCCCUGUGACGGAUCCUGGGCGCCGGCGGCUGCCGAUGACGUCAUGUGGACUCCGGAGCAGGCGGCUGCGGCGGUUCCCGAUGCACGUGGCCAGAAGGUUACACCGAUGCCGCUGGAUGACUAAGAGCAAUAUCAUACCCUGGCUUGGACAUUCUCUGGAGUUCUAUCCACAUGAAGUUAUCAAUGGUACUGAUAGGUGACCAGUCAGAACCAGUAUUAUUAACAACGGGCUUUUGGAAGAUUGCAACUGCAGUUGUGCAGUAAGGAUGUGCAAAAUUCAGUAAAAAUCCUUGCCACCCUGAAAAGUACACAGAUCCAUUCCGAAGCGAUCACAUACAGUAACUGCAUACACAAUUGCAGCACACAUGCAGAUCCUUCAAUAUUCAGCAGGUCAAAUUAAUCAAUGGUCAUGCAGCAUAGUAGCCUGAAAGUAGAUGCUGGAGCAAUGCUUGGAAGAAGAUGCUUGGAUUAAAUAAAAACAGGACAUGGUUCAGGAAUGUGUAAUUACAUUGAAAAUGGAUUGAACCUGCAUGUACUAUUGUACUAUGUUUAUUUAAUAACAUCACAUACAGUAUGUUCACAUGAAAUGGUUUCCUGAAACUGGAUAUGCCCCACCUGCCCUAGCUGUCAUCUGGCUGCUAGUCAGUGUCAGAAGCCCUGCCCACUGGAUGCCACAAUCCUAUUAUACUUUCACACAUUGCAGAGUAAUCACACCCAGGUAUUGCAGCUGUGCAUAAAACCUUUCCUGUAGGAAAAGGCAGAUUCGUAAGCCUGUCCCAUGGCUGUGGCAUCUCAUUGGGUGCUGAUCAAAUAAAUAAAUAAAUAUCAUAGAACACAGUUAUCAGUAUCAUGACUCCACCAGGGGCUUAAUGACACUGGAAAUAUCAGCAUACCAUCUUGAGGGGUCAUUCCAACCUGAUCACUAGCAGGCUACUUUUAGCACUGCUGCGAUCAGGUAGUCGCCGCCUACAGGGGAGAAGGGAAUCGGUGUGCAGGGCUGCGCUCGCUUGUGCAGAGAGCUGCACAAACAAAAGUUUGUGCAGUUUCUGCACAGCUCAUGACUUAGUCACCCGCUGCGAUCAUCCAGGACGGAGCUGACGUCAGGAUCCCUCCCUGGAAAUGGCUGGGCACGCCUGCAUUCGGACGGACACUCCCUGAAAGUGGUCAGUUGAUGCCUCUGGCCAACCUCUUCCUGUCAAUCUUCUUGCGUUCGCAGGUGCGAUCACUUUAUUCGUUAUUUAUGUCGCUCCCUGGCAACGGCCGUCACAGGGAGUGACGAGCCUGCGCAUUGUGACCCAUGCACAGGCGCACUACAGACCUGAUCGCACCACUGCAAAAAACGGCAGCGUGCAAUCAGGUCGGAAUGACCCCCCUAGUGUAAAAUCCUUAAUCCAUUUAGUGCAAUAAACCAAUAUAGGAACAUGCAACCAUAUUGUAUUUAAGCCUAUUGUAUGUGCAUAAUAGCUGGCAGUCCUUGACAAAGGUGUUAGCACACUGAAAUGGCUGUUGGACUUUCUGUGAGCAUGAACAAUAUACCCUGAAUGCUGCCUUGACUGUGAUACAUACUAUUUUGAUCUGUUUUGCUGUAUUGCAUUAAAUGGAUUAACAAUUUUUGCACUAAACUGUGUGUAUGUUUAGUUGUUGAUGCUUCUGCAAAAUGUAGUAUAUAUCAGCGAAAGUAAUACUAUAUACUUAAGUAUAUUAUAAGUGGGAAAUGUGCUCUCUAAAAAUAAGGAUUGUUCUUAUGGAUUACCUGAGCUCCAAGUUUAUUUUCUUUUUUUUUCACGCUGAUAAAUAUAUC